RNAcentral lists this unclassified non-coding RNA (562 nucleotides) under Manduca sexta (tobacco hornworm). Its description in RNAcentral is "dosage compensation regulator, transcript variant X2". The record is from RNAcentral. Lineage: Eukaryota; Metazoa; Arthropoda; Insecta; Lepidoptera; Sphingidae.
UUUAUUUCCGCCCUGCUUGUAAUAACCGCUGCCCUACCUUAAAUUCAAGUCUAGUUACGGCCCUGCUACAUAUCCGUUAUGAUUCAGGUCGCUUCCUUAUUACCGUAUGGAUGGUAAAAAAUAAACAUAGGUUAACUACCAACGUACCUACCAUGGAAGCGCAGUAAUGACUAUUGAAUUAGAUACGGGAAAGCACUGGCUGGGACGCAGGUUUCAAUAAUUGUGGUUUGAUGGUGGACGUCGACGGCGAGGUUUAGCAGCGAUGCUGUCGCGAGGUUCUUCAACCCGCUUCUGUUUCACUACAAUCGCACAUUGGUCGCAUUUACAACGCGCAUUGAAGAGAAAUUAGUAAUAUUACUAUGUUGCACAUACUACAGCAUCGCGUCGCAUCACUCGCACACAAUACCAAUAGAGGGCUACGAAACAGAACUACAGGUUCUUGGCCAACAUGUAGAUAUUCCUGAAACACCCGUGAAAGUAGUUAAAAUCACCAAAACCAUUGCAGUUAAAAUACCCGUACCAUAUCCAGUGAAAGUAAGAGAGAAAGUGCCAUACCCUGUUC